RNAcentral lists this ribosomal RNA (493 nucleotides) under uncultured bacterium. Its description in RNAcentral is "partial 16S ribosomal RNA". It matches the Rfam family "Bacterial small subunit ribosomal RNA", at positions 28 to 507 of the family's 1533-position model. The record is from RNAcentral.
GACGAACGCUGGCGGCGUGCUUAACACAUGCAAGUCGAACGGUGAAGGGACCGGUUUUUGCUGGUUCUGGAUGAGUGGCGAACGGGUGAGUAACACGUGAGUAACCUGCCCCCUUCUUCUGGAUAACCGCAUGAAAGUGUGGCUAAUACGGGAUAUUCUGCGCCUGCUGCAUGGUGGGUGUGGGAAAGAUAUUGUUUCGGUGGGGGAUGGGCUCGCGGCCUAUCAGCUUGUUGGUGGGGUGAUGGCCUACCAAGGCGGUGACGGGUAGCCGGCCUGAGAGGGUGGACGGUCACACUGGGACUGAGACACGGCCCAGACUACUACGGGAGGCAGCAGUGGGGAAUAGUGCACAAUGGGCGCAAGCCUGAUGCAGCGACGCCGCGUGAGGGAUGGAGGCCUUCGGGUUGUAAACCUCUUUCGCCAGUGAAGCAGGCCUGUCCCUUUUGUGGGUGGGUUGACGGUAGCUGGAUAAGAAGCGCCGGCUAACUACGUG